Molecule: long non-coding RNA, 308 nt
Filed under: Mytilus galloprovincialis (Mediterranean mussel)
Lineage: Eukaryota; Metazoa; Mollusca; Bivalvia; Mytilida; Mytilidae
Source: RNAcentral
UUUGGGUUGUCUCCCUUUGGAGAAUAUAAGAACUUUUGUCUUGUUAACAUUUAUUUUAAGUUGCCAUUUUUCACAAUAAUCAUCAAAUUCAUUUAACAUGUUUUGUAAAUCUUCACUACUCUCGGAAAACAUCACAGUGUCAUCCGCAUAUAAUAACAUAAAUAUUUUUAAAAAUACUGUUAACUCGUGUUCGAGGUCAUCACUAAUAGAAUUUACACCAAGUACAUCUUUGCCUUCAAAAAAAUGCUGUAAAUCAUUUAAAAAUAUUGCAAACAGAGCAGGGGAAAGAUUUUCUCCCUGUCUUACAC